CGAACCGCGACGGGAGAGCCCUCCUGCCGGAGGCGCCGAAGGAGCAACCCUCCCCGGGAAACUCUCAGGCCCCUGUACCGCCGUGGUGAG
Molecule: non-coding RNA, 90 nt
Filed under: Actinotalea bogoriensis
Lineage: Bacteria; Bacillati; Actinomycetota; Actinomycetes; Micrococcales; Cellulomonadaceae
Also listed under: 1 other name
Description: Cellulomonas bogoriensis Glycine sequence
Rfam family: Glycine riboswitch aptamer
About the family: This family represents the bacterial glycine riboswitch. Glycine riboswitches usually consist of two metabolite-binding aptamers domains with similar structures in tandem. The aptamers cooperatively bind glycine to regulate the expression of downstream genes.
Source: RNAcentral